Molecule: ribosomal RNA, 253 nt
Filed under: uncultured bacterium
Lineage: Bacteria
Description: partial 16S ribosomal RNA
Rfam family: Bacterial small subunit ribosomal RNA
Source: RNAcentral
UACAGAGGGUGCAAGCGUUGUUCGGAAUUACUGGGCGUAAAGCGUGCGCAGGCGGUGAUGUAAGACAGGUGUGAAAUCCCCGGGCUUAACCUGGGAACUGCAUUUGUGACUGCAUCGCUGGAGUGCGGCAGAGGGGGAUGGAAUUCCGCGUGUAGCAGUGAAAUGCGUAGAUAUGCGGAGGAACACCGAUGGCGAAGGCAAUCCCCUGGGCCUGCACUGACGCUCAUGCACGAAAGCGUGGGGAGCAAACAGG